GAACUGCGAUAAGUAAUGUGAAUUGCAGAAUUCAGUGAAUCAUCGAGUCUUUGAACGCACAUUGCGCCCCCUGGCAUUCCGGGGGGCAUGCCUGUCCGAGCGUCAUUGCUGCCCUUCAAGCCCGGCUUGUGUGUUGGGUCGUCGUCCCCCCCGGGGGACGGACCCGAAAGGCAGCGGCGGCACCGUGUCCGGUCCUCGAGCGUAUGGGGCUUUGUCACCCGCUCGAUUAGGACCGGCCGUGCGCCCGCCGGCGUCAAACCCCAAUCUUUCUAAGGUUGACCUCGGAUCAGGUAGGGAUACCCGCUGAACUUAAGC
Molecule: unclassified non-coding RNA, 315 nt
Filed under: plant metagenome
Description: partial contains 5.8S ribosomal RNA, internal transcribed spacer 2, and large subunit ribosomal RNA
Rfam family: 5.8S ribosomal RNA (bases 1-105)
Source: RNAcentral